This 1269-nucleotide ribosomal RNA is filed under the name Oerskovia turbata. Its description in RNAcentral is "bacterial SSU rRNA". It matches the Rfam family "Bacterial small subunit ribosomal RNA", at positions 260 to 1533 of the family's 1533-position model. The record is from RNAcentral. Lineage: Bacteria; Bacillati; Actinomycetota; Actinomycetes; Micrococcales; Cellulomonadaceae.
AUGGCCUACCAAGGCGACGACGGGUAGCCGGCCUGAGAGGGCGACCGGCCACACUGGGACUGAGACACGGCCCAGACUCCUACGGGAGGCAGCAGUGGGGAAUAUUGCACAAUGGGCGAAAGCCUGAUGCAGCGACGCCGCGUGAGGGAUGAAGGCCUUCGGGUUGUAAACCUCUUUCAGCAGGGAAGAAGCGCAAGUGACGGUACCUGCAGAAGAAGCGCCGGCUAACUACGUGCCAGCAGCCGCGGUAAUACGUAGGGCGCAAGCGUUGUCCGGAAUUAUUGGGCGUAAAGAGCUCGUAGGCGGUUUGUCGCGUCUGGUGUGAAAACUCAAGGCUCAACCUUGAGCUUGCAUCGGGUACGGGCAGACUAGAGUGCGGUAGGGGUGACUGGAAUUCCUGGUGUAGCGGUGGAAUGCGCAGAUAUCAGGAGGAACACCGAUGGCGAAGGCAGGUCACUGGGCCGCAACUGACGCUGAGGAGCGAAAGCAUGGGGAGCGAACAGGAUUAGAUACCCUGGUAGUCCAUGCCGUAAACGUUGGGCACUAGGUGUGGGGCUCAUUCCACGAGUUCCGUGCCGCAGCAAACGCAUUAAGUGCCCCGCCUGGGGAGUACGGCCGCAAGGCUAAAACUCAAAGGAAUUGACGGGGGCCCGCACAAGCGGCGGAGCAUGCGGAUUAAUUCGAUGCAACGCGAAGAACCUUACCAAGGCUUGACAUACACCGGAAACUUCCAGAGAUGGUUGCCCCGCAAGGUCGGUGUACAGGUGGUGCAUGGUUGUCGUCAGCUCGUGUCGUGAGAUGUUGGGUUAAGUCCCGCAACGAGCGCAACCCUCGUCUUAUGUUGCCAGCACGUCAUGGUGGGGACUCAUAAGAGACUGCCGGGGUCAACUCGGAGGAAGGUGGGGAUGACGUCAAAUCAUCAUGCCCCUUAUGUCUUGGGCUUCACGCAUGCUACAAUGGCCGGUACAAAGGGCUGCGAUACCGCGAGGUGGAGCGAAUCCCAAAAAGCCGGUCUCAGUUCGGAUUGGGGUCUGCAACUCGACCCCAUGAAGUCGGAGUCGCUAGUAAUCGCAGAUCAGCAACGCUGCGGUGAAUACGUUCCCGGGCCUUGUACACACCGCCCGUCAAGUCACGAAAGUCGGUAACACCCGAAGCCGGUGGCCCAACCCUUGUGGAGGGAGCUGUCGAAGGUGGGACUGGCGAUUGGGACUAAGUCGUAACAAGGUAGCCGUACCGGAAGGUGCGGCUGGAUCACCUCCUUUCUAAGGA